This is a non-coding RNA of Schistosoma mansoni, 46 nucleotides long. The record is from Rfam. Lineage: Eukaryota; Metazoa; Platyhelminthes; Trematoda; Strigeidida; Schistosomatidae.
GAACUGCUGAAGAUUGCCACACUAGGAAGAAACGGCCGUCCAGUGC